GUCCGACUGGCGGUUUAGGCCCCACAGGGAUUGGGCCUAAACCAGCAGUCAGACAUCCCCCAAGGGGUCCUGGAUUGGAGAGGGUGCAGGCCAGGCUGAGGGGACUCCCUCCACCCCUCCUUCCAUGAAUUUCGUGUUCCGGGCCUUUAGUUUAAUAUAAGAGCCAAAAAAGUGACAUCCAAAAGAAGACCCAUCUUUAUGCUGGGAAAAAUGAUUUUAAGAGCUAGUUGAUUUAAGAUCUGCAUUUCAUAAUAUUUUGUUAGCCAACCCUUUUCUAGUAUUUCUGUUCUGCUGUAUAUACUACUCCAUCAGAUUUUGUAGGAAAAAAAUCAUUUUUUUCUUGCUUUCAUUUUAAUGCUAGAAAAAAUUUUCCCAGGCCCAUCAGUUUCAGCUAGUGUAAUGCUAGUCAUAUAAAGCAAAAAGGGCAAACUCCAUGCCUCCUGGGCACAAGAAAAUGAAUUAGCAAAGCUGGGUGUUUUGCAUAUUAAACAAGUUAGAACAUUGUUCAUUUUUAAUAUGGAUUCAGUGUUGCUCAGCCCUCUAAUUUUUAAGCACUAGAAUCAGGGUUUUUAUUUGAAAUAUUAUUGUUAAAUAUUAACUAAUUCAUACAAGCAUUUUAGGCAAAAAGACACUAGAGGCCUGACAUGGACAGCUGUUUUAGUUUCCUUUGUAGUGAAGAGCCGUGCUGGUAAAUUAUGGUCCAUGGGCCCAAAUAUAGUCUGCUGCUACCAAUUUUUAUAUGGCACAUGAGCUAAGAAUGAUUUUUACAUUUUUAAAUGGUUGGGGGAAGAAUCAAAAGAAUAUUUUUUUCCUUUUUGCCCCAGUCCCCUCAAGCAGAAGAGAGGUACAGUUCAGGACAAUAUUGUCAAGACUUUAUGAUUAAGAGUAUAAAUCCUGCCUUUACCACUGUGAUACUUUGCAUUCUUUACUUAGCUUAAUAGAAGGCAGCUGGAUUCACAUAUCAGCUUCUGCAGCCGGCCUGUUGUACUAUCAUCCACUUAGCUUUUGGAAACUCCACUGUACACUAGUCUGAGAGUAAUGAAGAAAACAUUGUCUUAGUUUUAUUAUAAGAAUAGUUCUAACAGGUGGGUCCUGUGAAAGGGUGUUCCUAGACCACAUUUGGAGAGCUUCUCUAAAUACUUGCAUAUACUGCUGAUUCAUUGUUUGUGGGUUUUUUUCUGUUUUUUGUUUUUUGCAAUAUGUAUUGCCUACUGGCUUCCUAAUAAUAAAAAAAGUGAAUAUUUAGCUUUUUCUAUAUACUUUUCUAUAUUGCACAUAAUCUAUUUUCCUGGUAUAGUUAUAGUAAUUUCUGGUUAAAUUUAUAUUCUUUGUUUUUAUAAUUGACAUAAACAUUAUUCACAUCUGAGUAGUAUAGAAUGACUUUAUACUACCUUUCUCAUACAAAACCUUUUUAUUAUUUGAUAAUUGCUCCUUAGACUGAGAGGGAGAAUUGCUUAUUUUUCUAUGUACUUAUUGCUGAUUCAUCUUCAGACUCUCUGACAGUAGUAUAAUUGCUUUUCUGUAUGUACAGACUUAUCAGGUAGCUUGAUCAUGUUUCCUGUUUUCUUGGUGAUAGUCCACUUGUUAUUCUUCAGUGUUAUCAUCUAGACUGGUUACACUCCAACCAUGUUGCUAUGCAGAUGUCCUGAGGGUAAUUGUUAUCCUGGAUUUGAAUGAACUUUGCCUCCAACCCCUGUUGGAUCGAUAGUUUUAUGAAUCUGAGAUCAAUAUUUUUGAAACCAUGCAUGCCUGAGAAUCUUGAUCCUCACAUUUAAUUAAUAAAUCAUCUGGGUAUAAAAUUCUAGGUUAGUAAUUUUUCCCUCCAGCAUUUUGUUAUCUUCUGGUCUGAUGCCAUUCUAAUUCCUGGUUCUUUGAACAUGGCCAAUUUUGCUUUACUUUUUUCCUCUAGAAACUUCAGAUGUUUUUCCUUGUGCUUUCAACUUUCAAAUUUUUAUUGACAUAGUUUGCUGUCAUUCAUUUUUAUUCUCUGUAUUUAGGUUUAUUUUGUUUAUUCUUUUUACUAUUACUCUGUCCAGCUUUCAGGAAGAUGUAAAGAUAAACAUUUAACUGGAAAUCAAUAGGACUUUGAAUUUUGCUAUCUUGAUAGCUUUUUAAAGAUUUAUUAGACUAUGUCUUAAACAUCAAAAAUGGACUUAAUGAUAAUUAAUAAUAGAUAAUGGAAACCAGCUGCAUUAUUAGCACUAGUUUAAGGUCAGACAGGAUUGCCUGGAGAGAGAGAUAUAAGGCAUUUUCUGGUUUUCCUCUUUAAAGCUCCAAAACUGUCUUCUUUAGAGUAACAACUCAUCACCAACUUUGUGGUUUUGCCUUGUGGCUUUAUCACUCUUAACUUUACUUAGGCUUCAUUUUGUACUUAAUAUCUUUUUCAUUUAUUUUGACAUGCUUAUAUAAGCUGUUGUGCCUGAAUUAUUUUUCUUUAUUGUUUUUUGCUUCUGUGCAUAUGAUUUUAAUACUUUUUUAUUACUAUGCUUUGAUGAACAGUAGAUAAAAAUCUGGCACAGCACUUAUUAUGUGUGUGGUUUAAUUGAGGUAAACCCAUUAUGAUGCAGAAUUCUGUAGAAACUCAGGCUAUGUUUUUGUUGUUGUUGGAUAUGAGUAUUAUCCAGUUUUGACAUCAUGUCACUUUACCUAUUACCAGAAUUAAUUUGCCUGAGUUGUUAGUCAGGUGGUUGACCUAAUAUCUUCAUGCUUCCUCUUCCCUAAGAUGCACAUGGAGUCAGAUGAUAUUUUAGGCUUUAUUAGUUCUGUGAUAAUACACAAAUAAUUUUACUUAACUUUUCUGGCUUUCAUUAUAUUUAUAAAUAUAAUAUAAAAUGAUGUAUUGGACUAAAAUGCCUUUUCAUGGUCCUUCCACAUGGAAGCUUUUCUUUCUGAGAACUAAACUGAUCAUAUAUUCAGAGACACCUAUUGCAUGGCCAGACACUAGACUAGGAAUUUUUAAGUUACUAAGCGGCCCCAACGUUUGAGAAGCACUUAGUGUAGCUGAGAUAGACUAACCAAUUAUGUAAACCAAAUUAAUCACAACCUAUUUAAAUGUCUGUAUCUGCUUUCACAAGAAAACAACACCCUUGUAUCCAAGAGCUAGAAGGCUGGUGGAAUGAGGGAAUAAGAUCAAAUGACUACUGAGUAUUUAUUGUAGAUGCAUUUGAUACUUAGGCAUAGGGUUCAAAGCACUUUUAAUUUUAUUUUAUGUGUUAAUCCUCACACCAGGAUAUUUUUUUUCCCAUUGAUUUUUAGAGACAGUAGAAGUAGCAAGGGAGGGAGGGAGCGAGAAACCAGAAGAGAAGAAGAGAAACAGAAAAGAAGAAACAAUAAUGUGAGAGAGACAUACGGAUUGGUUGCCCCUGCACACGCCCAGACCAGGGCUGGGGAUCCAACCUGCAACCCAGAUGCUUGCCCUUGACCAGGAAUGGAACCCACAGGGUGACACUCUAACCACUGAGCCAGGGCUCAAAGUACUUUUUACAUUUCACUCUAUAGAGACAAAUAUCCCCCAUCUCAAGAACUGGAUUUAUUUUUCUAGUAGUCAUGUAUUAACUUUGAAAUUUUUCAACUUGGUCAGAAGAUACAAGUUUCCAUUUAAAUUAUUUUAUGCUUUUAAUAGAAUAUACUAGGAAUUUUCUUAUAAAAAUUCUGCAUUUUAAAUGGCAUUAUUCAUAUUUGAAUAUGAAUGUGUAAUUCUCUUGUUGAGUAACAUUAAGAUCCAAGGUUUAAACAAAAAUGAGUCUAGAACAGGUUUGCUUUCCCCCCUCUAAUCUUUACACUUAAUGUUAUAGUGAAUUAUAGAAAUUAUUAUUCCUAUCAUACCUAAAAUUUUCAGAAAGACAGUUGACAUUCUUAUUAGGAACAAUAUGAACUCAUGAUUAGGCAGUGGCAGAAGAAACCUAUUUUGACCAAUUUAUUCCUGGUAAAGGCUACAAUUCACAAUAAGUAGCAUAUGUAAUACCAUUGUUUAUAAAUCUGCCUGUAAGUGCUGGUCUAGACUUUCCUUUUGACUACCCAUUGCCUUUAAAUCUCACCAAUAUGAAUUUUAUAUAUAUAUAUAUAUAUAUAUAUAUAAAAGAAUAAAAGAUUUUUAAGGUACAUAUUCAUAUAUUAAUAUUCUGCUUUGUUCCUAAUGAUAUAAAAGAGAGUGAGUUAUGAUCUAGCACUAAAAGCAUUUACAGCCUGAUUUUUUAUUUCUGACCUAUUUUCUAAACAUAGACCUGUGCUGAUUAUAUAGAAUGAAUGCCAAUAUGUGGUUCAGAUUUUAUAGAUUUCUUAAAAUAGUUAGAUUGUGACACAAUGGCUUUAAAUUUUAAUUUCUUUUUGUGCCUGUAUUGCUGCUUGUAUAUUGUAGGAUUUUUUAACAGUAAAGGAUGUUCAUUAAUGAGAAAUGUGUUUUGUAGACAUUGUAAUUUUAGAUUAAUUUCUCAUUUUUAAAUCUCCCCCUAUUCCAAGUACAGAAUAGUAUAAUAACUCUAUUCAUGUAAUGAUAGUCACUUGAAAAACUGCUUUCUUUUGCUAUGUCAGACACAGCAUUGCCCAUGUGGACUUUUGUCACCAUAGCUGAGAUUGUAGCAAUCUUGUUUGAAAAGUCAAAUACUGAUUUAAAUGAAUAAGAAAAUGCAAACAAACGUUUGCUGUCUUUAUAGCUUAAAAAUAAUAAAUUGGAGCAAUCUCUGACAUAACUUUUGUGCGUCUAAGAUUAUAGUUAGGAGAGCAUUUUGGAAUUUUUAAAGUAGAUUUUAAAUGAUAACCAAGGUUUUUGUUUGUUUAUUUUAAAAUUCUUACUGGAAUGGAAAGGGAUUUAAUUUUGUUGUCCAGUAAUGUAAGUCUUUUUGCAAUUGGCCUUUUCAAUAGUAGAUUGCUUUUUUUUUUUUUUUUGUAGAUUGCUUUUUAUUUGCUUCAACCUUAGUAGAUUUUUAUUUCAGCUUAUCUCUCUCAGCUAAAUCAGCUGGUGAAGGAAAUGACAGCUGUCAUUUAUUAAGUUCGUAUUUACUAUGUACCCAACAAUGAUUUAAAUGCUUCAUAUAUUUUCUCAUUUAAUCCCCACAACAACCCUAUCAGAUAACGCACACUUAUGAUGAAGUAAUUGAGAUGGGAAAGUUAAAAUACCACUUGUCCAGCUGUUUUUCGUCCUCUAAAAUUUUGACAUUUCUUGUCUGAUAUCAAUCUUAUUUUUCUCUUCUUUUUCUUACAGAUUUUUACCUUUUUCAGCUUCUUUAGUAUCAUUUAAUUGGGUCUUAGGAAAAAUAAAACACACACACAAAACCUGUCCUUGCUGUUCAUAAGUUGAGAAAGGAAAGGAAUUCGAGUUUACUGGAGUAUUGAAUACUGGAAAGUUUGGCCUUUUUAGGUAUACAGUUCUGGCAAUUUUGACAAGUGUAUACAGUCAUAUACAGAAUAUUUUCCUCAAAUCCCCCACCCCCCCCAAAAAAAAAAAAAAUCCUUCAUAUCACUUUGUAUUCAUUCCUGUCUCUCACUCCUGUCCCAGUUUUCUGUUCCUAGAGUUUGCCUUUUCUAGAAUGUCAUAUAGAUGGUAUUAUAACCUAUGUAGCCUUCCGUCAUUCUCAUUGUUUUAUCUUUUCUGGAAACUGGGAGUUGUCUGGAACAGCUCUUUGAUUCCUGUAGCCCUUGGACCAGAGUUUUCUUUGGGCUUAUCCAAUCCCUGCUCUUCUCUGCCACCAUUUUUUUUUUAUUUGCUGAUGCCAACUGUUUGGAUUUGUUUUUAGUAAAAGAAUGCCUGUUCUGUUAUUUAAAAAAUUAAGGUGCUUUAUUAACCAUAUUAAUCUAGUCUCUAAAACCCAGAACUCAAAAUCCUUUAUAUGGGGAACUGGUUUAGACCAGUUGUUUUAUAAAAUUGGGUUCUCGGAAGGGAGCAUCCCUAGUCAUAGCUAGAAAUGAAGGUCAAGGUUCAAAACCCUGUGAUGUAGAAAAGAACUUGGAAUGUUUUGUUUUCAACUAGGGACAAAAAUGAUGCGAAAGGAGUUGAGAAAACUAGACCAUUAAUCAGAAAUCCAUUUUUAAAGAUUUGAAUCAUCUGAUUUUUCAAAAUGUUGGAGACUAAUUCUGUAUUUUGGAAAACAGUACACAGACCAAACGGCACAUCCAUGGGCAGCUGGCCUGUGCAUCCCCAUAUUUAUCCAUAUUACCACAUGAAAGGGUUAAGGAGAAUAAAACGGGAAAGAGAAAAACUUAUUGUGCUUAGCAGAUAUCUUGCAGAAAGCUUGCAGCCUUGAGCACCGCAUAGUCCAGAAAACCACUAGCUAUCUGACGCUGGGAGGAACCAAGGACAACUGGACCCUUAGCGGCUUACAAUCAGCAAAAAUUAAUAAAAACCUUUUCUCUCCCUG
Long non-coding RNA from Myotis myotis, 6353 nucleotides. RefSeq lists it as uncharacterized. NCBI's taxonomy places the organism in Eukaryota, Metazoa, Chordata, Mammalia, Chiroptera, Vespertilionidae. The transcript is spliced from 2 exons. The record is from RefSeq and is a predicted model, not a curated record.